AAGGUCUCAAGGACAUGUCCUGUGGU
RNAcentral lists this non-coding RNA (26 nucleotides) under Rattus norvegicus (Norway rat). Lineage: Eukaryota; Metazoa; Chordata; Mammalia; Rodentia; Muridae. The record is from RNAcentral.